AACAGCAGCAGCAGCAGCAUAAGCAGAGAAGGGUCGAAAUGACAACAAAAAGUGUACUUUUUCUCUGCCGUACUGCUGCUGCUUCGCUACG
RNAcentral lists this microRNA precursor (91 nucleotides) under Anopheles maculatus. RNAcentral's name for it is "microRNA mir-241". The record is from RNAcentral. Lineage: Eukaryota; Metazoa; Arthropoda; Insecta; Diptera; Culicidae.